AUGGGGAUCUGCUUGGGGCUGUUUGUUUUGCAGAAGAAAACAGAAGGCUUUAGUGUAUCGGAAUCCUGCCCCUCCUCCUGCACCAGGGCCUCCCCCACCACUUGAAAGCUGCUGAGCAAACAGAGAAAUCAAAGAUGAUUAUAUGCUGCUGGAAACCCGCGUGCUUCCGCCUGGCUGCAUCUCCCUGCCAAACUGUUAUGUAAGCCACAGCCCCACUCAGGCCUGGAAUCAAACAGAGAUGCCAUUGAGAGCCCUCCCUUGACCCACUCAUCACCUGCAGCCUGGCUCAAACCAUGUCUCACCUGGAGUAGACCUGCCCGGGGUGGGCCAUGCAUGAUCUGUGGCCGGCAGGUGGCUUUUCCAUCUCCUUUCCCAUCUAGCACAGAGGUAUGGGUGGGUCAGGACCAGGCAUUUACUUUGGUUAGAUUCCAAAUGACUAAGAUAUUUUAGGAUGGAAAACUCCAUUUGACAAUCCCAGGGAGUUGAGUAUUUUUCACCCUUCUAAGUGAAUAAUUCACUCUGGCUGUUUAGGUACCAGAGCUGAAUAAGUGGCUCUGGAGUCUGAGAUGACCUCCUGGUCAGAAAGGGCCACCCACACUGCUUUGAUGACCAGUACUUAUUUCUAUGCAGGGAUUCUGGGCAUCUUCCUCAGCCCUAAACCACCGAAAUGGACUUAUAAGAGCUGUUCCUUAAAUGCCUUCGUGACUUGAGUAAAUGAGCCGACUUCUCAGGGCUUUGGUUUCUUCUUUCUGCAUCACAAGGGGAACCAACCUCCAAGUCCAGCCCUCUUCUUCAGGGAAACUUCGCUCCUCACUGUGCUUCAAGAUGACCUUUGGCUUCAAACAAAAAUGUGAGUCUGAAUUUGGUAAAGCUUGGGUCUUUUCAUUCUUCCCAGCUCUCCCAGUCCAGAGGAAUAAAUAUUCCUGCUCCUAAAACCCAGUGGUCUCUGUGAAUGAGCUCAUCUAGUCCCUGCUGGCUUUCUGUAUAGUAAUGAAGCUCAUGUUGACCAGCGUUUCUACAUUGUUAUGUCUGUCUGUCUGUCUGUCUGUCUGUCUGUCUGUCUGUCUGUCUGUCUGUCUAUCUAUCUAUCUAUCCAUCCAUCCAUCCAUCCAUCCAUCCAUAUAGCUAUAUAUAUGACUUUGUAUAUAAUAUAAAACUAUAUAUCUAUUAAAUUUAUAAAGAUAAUACUGAUGUUAUCGGGGCAGGAGCCUGAGAACUGAGCCUUUUUGCAUCCCUUUCUCUCUCUGUCUCCUCCUGAGAUCUCCACCUGGAGAAAGGGGAUAAGAAUAGAAUGAAGUUGAAUAUCUUGACUAAGGGAGGUGGUUUCUUCAUCAGACACACUCCUCUGAAUCAGGGGGUAGUCAGAAGCUGGUGCAGGCAGGUAAUAUGGAAUAGCAGCCUAGUUAAAGCAUGGAGGCUGCAUCAAUGCCACACUCAACCCCUCAACAAAUGGGCACAACCAGAACAGGACGUUAAGAACCGGAGAACGCUUCCACAUGCCUGAGAACAAACAGAGUGAAAAGACUGGUUAGCCUAUCUGCUGAUCUGUGAGAUCAGCCCCUUGGAAGCCUUUUCUUCAAUCCCAGGCAUUAUGACUGAAUUCAACCACUCUUGAGAGAUGGACAGAGGAGCUUGAGUCAGGAUCGUGGGGUUCAAAUGGCUGCAAUUCCCCAAGAUAUCAACAACAAAGUUUAAAAAGUAUGUGAUCGUUUUUGUCAAUUAUGUUUUCUCUAUAAAAUAAAAAAAUAAACUUCAGGAAUCACUGACCUAUGUAUCUUAAUAUUUAGAGUUACACUAACACUCUGGUAUAUAAUUGUGGUGCUUCCACACUAACUUUAAGCAUUAAUAAUUACUACUCAGUUUAAUCUAGCCUAUAAUGUUAUAUACAGUAAAUUAAUUGUUCCUGAAGUUUCUAAGAAUAAUUCUGAAAUAUGCAUGUGGCUGUGAAGAAUGAGGUUUUGUAUUUUUAAUAAAAAAUAAACUUUUUUUUCUUUUUUCUCAUCCCCCAACUUUAUUGUUUUAUAACCGUUUUAGAUUUACAGAAAAAUUGCAAGGAGAGUACAGAGCUCGUGUACCUCUCCCUCAUUUUUUCCUAUCGAUAAUAUCUUACAUCUUACAGGACUGUGGUACAUUUGUUAUGAUUAACAAACCAGUAUUGACACAUGAUUGUGAA
This is a long non-coding RNA of Callithrix jacchus (white-tufted-ear marmoset), 2173 nucleotides long. Lineage: Eukaryota; Metazoa; Chordata; Mammalia; Primates; Cebidae. The record is from Ensembl.